AGCUAGUUGGUGGGGUAAUGGCUCACCAAGGCGACGAUGCGUAGCCGACCUGAGAGGGUGAUCGGCCACACUGGGACUGAGACACGGCCCAGACUCCUACGGGAGGCAGCAGUAGGGAAUCUUCCGCAAUGGACGAAAGUCUGACGGAGCAACGCCGCGUGAGUGAUGAAGGUUUUCGGAUCGUAAAGCUCUGUUGUUAGGGAAGAACAAGUGCGAGAGUAACUACUCGCACCUUGACGGUACCUAACCAGAAAGCCACGGCUAACUACGUGC
This 273-nucleotide ribosomal RNA is filed under the name Bacillus safensis. RNAcentral describes it as "partial 16S ribosomal RNA". It matches the Rfam family "Bacterial small subunit ribosomal RNA", at positions 243 to 508 of the family's 1533-position model. Lineage: Bacteria; Bacillati; Bacillota; Bacilli; Caryophanales; Bacillaceae. The record is from RNAcentral.